UCCGGCCCAGGCAGUCCUGCAUACCACCUGCUGCUCCUGCCAUGUCUGGCCUGUGCGACCCAGGCGUGGGCUUGGGAGCUAAGCAUCUGAGUUCAACCCUUAACUCCACCGCUGUCUUUUUGUGAGAUCUUAGCUACUUUAUCUCUCUGUGCCUCAGUUUCCCCAUCUGUGAGAUGGAGGAGAGGAUGGUCACUUCUGCCAGGAUUGUGAAGAGUCAAGGAGAUGACGUGUGAGAUCUGGGCCAUCUCAGGCACAGCUGGACCCUAAGGUGAUACCGGCCAUCGCAUGAUCUUUGGACAUGUUUCUGGACCUCGGAAACCUUGCCCAUGGUCCCAAGGGGCUGAGCAGGAGGAAACUUGGGGAGCAGCACUCAUUGUCGAGGGACAAAGAGCUCAUUUUGCUUCUUGAAGGGUUGUGUGAGGCUACACGAGGAGAUGCUUGUGGGCGUUUCCCAGCAGGCCUGCUCUGCUCUGCCAGCGUCGCCGACACGUCUUACAACCCGUUUCACUGAGCAGGCUUCAGCGGGAAUAAACAGGAAGACCCGGGACGCCUGUCCCUCUGCCUCUCCACGGCUGCCACCUUGAUAAUUCCACCCGUCAUCGCUCCCGGCCUUGAUUUCCUAUGGAUUUAUUCUUUUCUUUAUUUUUAAAUUUUUAUUUUUAAAUCUU
Long non-coding RNA from Eptesicus fuscus (big brown bat), 668 nucleotides. RefSeq lists it as uncharacterized. The record is from RefSeq and is a predicted model, not a curated record. The transcript is spliced from 3 exons. NCBI's taxonomy places the organism in Eukaryota, Metazoa, Chordata, Mammalia, Chiroptera, Vespertilionidae.